This is a long non-coding RNA of Bos indicus x Bos taurus (hybrid cattle), 1483 nucleotides long. Lineage: Eukaryota; Metazoa; Chordata; Mammalia; Artiodactyla; Bovidae. The record is from Ensembl.
CUGGACGACGGCAGGAGUGAGGAGCCGGACCAGACGUGGGGCUGAUGGGUGUGACCUGAGGAUUGCGGUCCCCCACCCGAAUCUGCAGCUGGCCUGGGCUGCCGGGUCCAAAUAGACCAUUUCCACGUCCGAAGGACCGGAAGAAAUAUGAGUGAAAACAAUGAAGAAUUCAACCUCAACCUUAUUACAGAUGCUCAAAAUUUCGAACUCCCACGCCAGAGAGGUGGUCAGAAACCAAUGGGCGCAGUGUGGAUCAGUCAGGAUGAUUUUAUGGAAUUGUGUCAAAGGAGGUUCGAAAAGAGGAAACCAAGUGCAUGGCCACUGGGGACCAUGCAUCUUUCCCUGGAAAGAUACAAACCUGAUUACAGAAAGACGGGAAAGCCCAAGCCCCAUAUCCUUUCUUGUCUUAUUAUGCCCCUAAAAAAAAGUUAUUGUUUGAAAAUCCCAUAUUUCCUUUUUCUAAAAUUCAUUUGUAGGCUCUAAGAUCUAGUUUGUGAUCUUGAGUUGGCCAUUAGAGGGGGCAGUGGAAGUCACACUGAACAUCCACCAUCUGCCAAGUUCUGUGAAUUAUCUUUUUUUCCUCUCUGUCUCAUCUAUCCUUCUAUCUACCUACCUACCUACCUACUUAUUUACCAGCCUCCAAGUUUAGCUUGCUAACUCAUGCCAUCUCUCUGUAUCUGUCUUAUACUAAGUUCAUGUAUAAGAAAUCACUAGGGAACUUAAGAAUUGACCAUAUUUUGAACAGUCAGUAAACAUUGAGCUGGGAUGAAAAGACAUAUCUGUUUGAUCUGACAUUUCUUGUCAUUUUCACCUGACCAGAAGUGCAUGUCUGAUUUUGGUGACUUUUUUGGGUAUCUUUCUGGUAAGGCGUUCCAUAAAUUUGCCUGUAGGGUGAAGCCAAUUUGGGGUGGUAAUUCUCAGUGAGGACUGAUGAAGUUUGCACAAAGGAAAGGACAGAGUCUUUCCUUAGAGUCUGAGGAAAGAUUUUCCUGUGCAAUAUUCUGACCCCUGCUCCUCGACCAUCACCCUCACUGAGACCCCUUGACAAAUCAAAUCAACUUUGUCUCUGUUUCCACAAAUGUCACUUUAGUCAACAUGGAGAUGGGGGCAUCUUUCCUACCUUAUCAUAGAAAUGAUAUUGUUAUUUUAUUUCGAAAAGAGUAUUUUUAUAUUGGGCAAGUAAAGGAUUCUCCAUUACUCUAAUACUGUUGGACUGUGCCGGUAAAGCAAUUAAUGGUCUUGUCCAUCAAUCUAUGGAAGGAUUUAUUCUGAGGAGAAAAGUUCUAAUAGAUAGAUGAUAGACAGAUAGGUAAUAGAUAGAUAAUAGGUAGAUAGAUAAUAGAUAAGUGGAUAGAUGGCUGGAUAGGAAGGCAGGUAGAUAGAUAGGCAGGCAGGCAGGUAGGUAGGUUGGUAGAUGACAUGUAAAUAGAUGAUUGAUAGAUAUAUGAAUAUAUCAGAUAGAAUGUUGGAUGGGUAGAUAGAU